This 264-nucleotide ribosomal RNA is filed under the name uncultured bacterium. Its description in RNAcentral is "partial 16S ribosomal RNA". It matches the Rfam family "Bacterial small subunit ribosomal RNA", at positions 793 to 1055 of the family's 1533-position model. The record is from RNAcentral.
GUCCACGCCGUAAACGAUGAAUGCUAGGUGUUAGGGGUUUCGAUACCCUUGGUGCCGAAGUUAACACAUUAAGCAUUCCGCCUGGGGAGUACGGUCGCAAGACUGAAACUCAAAGGAAUUGACGGGGACCCGCACAAGCAGUGGAGUAUGUGGUUUAAUUCGAAGCAACGCGAAGAACCUUACCAGGUCUUGACAUCCUUCUGACCGUCCUAGAGAUAGGGCUUCCCUUCGGGGCAGAAGAGACAGGUGGUGCAUGGUUGUCGU